Molecule: ribosomal RNA, 520 nt
Filed under: uncultured Glomeromycotina
Lineage: Eukaryota; Fungi; Glomeromycota
Description: SSU rRNA
Rfam family: Eukaryotic small subunit ribosomal RNA
Source: RNAcentral
CGCAGCCGCGGUAAUUCCAGCUCCAAUAGCGUAUAUUAAAGUUGUUGCAGUUAAAAAGCUCGUAGUUGAAUUUCGGGAUUAGUAUGCUGGUCAUGCCUUUGGUAUGUACUGGUGUUACUGAUUUCUACCUUUUUGAAGAACCGUUAUGUCAUUCAUUUGGUGUGGCGGGGAAUCAGGACUGUUACCUUGAAAAAAUUAGAGUGUUUAAAGCAGGCUCGCGCUUGAAUACAUUAGCAUGGAAUAAUGAAAUAGGACGUUGAUCCUAUUUUGUUGGUUUCUAGGAUUGACGUAAUGAUUAAUAGGGAUAGUUGGGGGCAUUAGUAUUCAAUUGUCAGAGGUGAAAUUCUUGGAUUUUAUUGAAGACUAACUACUGCGAAAGCAUUUGCCAAGGAUGUUUUCAUUAAUCAAGAACGAAAGUUAGGGGAUCGAAGACGAUCAGAUACCGUCGUAGUCUUAACCAUAAACUAUGCCGACUAGGGAUCGGAUGAUGUUAAUUUUUAAUGUACUCAUUCGCGCCGUU